Long non-coding RNA from Anolis sagrei ordinatus, 437 nucleotides. RefSeq lists it as uncharacterized. The record is from RefSeq and is a predicted model, not a curated record. NCBI's taxonomy places the organism in Eukaryota, Metazoa, Chordata, Lepidosauria, Squamata, Anolidae.
GGAGCAAAUUUGAAUCAAUCUUUAAAAGAGUAGCCUGCUGUGUCAGGAGUAGCAGAGAACUUCAAAUCUGGUGCAGAUAUUUGAUAAGAUUAAUCUUGCAGAGAUGCAUACCAAGGUGCUUGUCUGCCUGCUUCUGAUGGCUCUCAUUGGUACCAGCUUCUCAAGAUCUGUCAACUACCAUGAGAGCAAUGAGUUAAGCAGGGAAGCGAGGGCUCUUCCAAGACGGGAACAGGAGACGCGAAGCAGUGAUGAUAACAUGGCCGGCAUAAGAACCGUAGAUUUUGGAGCAUAGAAGUGGAGAUGUCUGAGAGAUCUUCUACCUAAGAGUGACAGCAGAGAUAAGUAGAAGAAAGAAGUGGCACAGAGUCCAAGGCAUCUAUUUAUAUGCAUGUUGUUUUUCCAUCUAUGUUUGUGUCAAUAAAAAUAUACUCUCAGCA